AGCUCCAAUAGCGUAUAUUAAAGUUGCUGCAGUUAAAAAGCUCGUAGUUGGAUUUGUGGCGCGGCCGUCCGGCGGGGGUCCUUCUAUGGUCUCGUUUGUCCUGGUUUUCGGCCGCUCCUUUCUCGGGUAGAGCGUAAUGGCUGGCAUUAGGUUGUCGGCCGCUUCGCGCCCGUCGUUUACUGUGAAAAAAUUAGAGUGUUCAAAGCAAGCGAUUUGCCCUGAAUACAUUAGCAUGGAAUAAUAGAAUAGGACCUGGUCUUAUUUUGUUGGUUUGUAUAAUUUCAGGUAAUGAUUAACAGGGACGGUUGGGGGCAUUUGUAUUCCGAGGCGAGAGGUGAAAUUCUUAGACCCUCGGAAGACAAACAGCUGCGAAAGCGUUUGCCAAGGACGUUUUCAUUGA
RNAcentral lists this ribosomal RNA (400 nucleotides) under phytoplankton environmental sample. RNAcentral describes it as "partial small subunit ribosomal RNA". It matches the Rfam family "Eukaryotic small subunit ribosomal RNA", at positions 587 to 976 of the family's 1831-position model. The record is from RNAcentral.